AACGAACGCUGGCGGCAGGCCUAACACAUGCAAGUCGAGCGCGCCUUCGGGUGAGCGGCGGACGGGUUAGUAACGCGUGGGAACGUACCCUUUUCUACGGAAUAGCCUUUGGAAACGAAGAGUAAUACCGUAUACGCCCUUUGGGGGAAAGAUUUAUCGGAGAAGGAUCGGCCCGCGUUAGAUUAGAUAGUUGGUGGGGUAACGGCCUACCAAGUCUACGAUCUAUAGCUGGUUUUAGAGGAUGAUCAGCAACACUGGGACUGAGACACGGCCCAGACUCCUACGGGAGGCAGCAGUGGGGAAUCUUAGACAAUGGGCGCAAGCCUGAUCUAGCCAUGCCGCGUGAGUGAUGAAGGCCUUAGGGUCGUAAAGCUCUUUCGCCUGUGAUGAUAAUGACAGUAGCAGGUAAAGAAACCCCGGCUAACUCCGUGCCAGCAGCCGCGGUAAUACGGAGGGGGUUAGCGUUGUUCGGAAUUACUGGGCGUAAAGCGCACGUAGGCGGAUUGGAAAGUUGGGGGUGAAAUCCCGGGGCUCAACCCCGGAACUGCCUCCAAAACUAUCAGUCUAGAGUUCGAGAGAGGUGAGUGGAAUUCCAAGUGUAGAGGUGAAAUUCGUAGAUAUUUGGAGGAACACCAGUGGCGAAGGCGGCUCACUGGCUCCGAUACUGA
This 668-nucleotide ribosomal RNA is filed under the name alpha proteobacterium IMCC14455. RNAcentral's name for it is "bacterial SSU rRNA". It matches the Rfam family "Bacterial small subunit ribosomal RNA", at positions 28 to 743 of the family's 1533-position model. Lineage: Bacteria; Pseudomonadati; Pseudomonadota; Alphaproteobacteria. The record is from RNAcentral.